GGACUUCUUCUUGUAUUACUAAAUGCAUAUAUCAUGCCUGGCACAAUCAGAGCUAAUGUGGUUUGGCUUCCAGCUUUUCAAGAAUUGACUUUAUGGAAUGUUCCUGCAGUUCUGACACAG
This is a long non-coding RNA of Haliaeetus leucocephalus (bald eagle), 120 nucleotides long. RefSeq lists it as uncharacterized. NCBI's taxonomy places the organism in Eukaryota, Metazoa, Chordata, Aves, Accipitriformes, Accipitridae. The record is from RefSeq and is a predicted model, not a curated record. The transcript has 2 exons.